Bos taurus (domestic cattle) is the source of this 790-nucleotide long non-coding RNA. NCBI's taxonomy places the organism in Eukaryota, Metazoa, Chordata, Mammalia, Artiodactyla, Bovidae. The record is from Ensembl.
GACUAAGGUUGACCGCAUGACCAGUCAGCCAUGGCUAUGUGACUGAGCCACAAUAAAAUCUGUAGACACCAAGGCUCAGGGUCUCAUUAAGAAGAAUCUACUGUCUCUGGUCAAAGAGCUGCCUACAAGUGUAACCUGGAGAGACAGCAGAGAAAGGCAAUGCCUUUAGUCGGUGUGCAUAAUGAAAUCUGUGGGAAGAAGUAACACCCUUGAUAUGUCAGCCACAAUAUGGUUUCUGUCUAAUUGAAUCCAUUCGUCAUUACAUUAAAAAAGAAGCUGAUGCAAUUGAAAAGAACAGAGUCACCUAGGCUUUAUGAAUGAAAGUCAGCAGCCUUUCACAGCUAGACAAAUAAAGCCAGCUUGGGACGACCAGACAAUGUCUCCUCUAUGUUUAUGCCUCUAAAUCACACUGUGAGUAGCCACCGCUUUUCUCUCUUGGGGAAAACAAACAAGUUUGGAAUUACAAAGACUAGAGUGGGAAGUCUCUGAUCUACCAAGGAAAAAAGAGCAAGAUACAAGAUAUGAAUAUGAUGUCCAUCUAAUGUGCAUAUAUAUGUGAUAUUUUUAUGAUGCAAAAUUUUAAUGAUUUGUAUUGAAUACUGUGAUGUAAUAUUUUUAUGAGAGAAAAAGGUAAAGAAAGACUCUACCCUGUUAAUAUUGGGUAUGUUUACUCCCUUUGGGGAAUUGGAGAUGGGAUUAGUGUGGGAAAUUAUUAACUUAAUUUUUUAUACCUUUAUAGUAGAAUAUGACAUCAAGUAAUUAUAGAAUACUACAAGUAGAAUACUAUAAC